Molecule: long non-coding RNA, 524 nt
Organism: Gorilla gorilla gorilla (western lowland gorilla)
Lineage: Eukaryota; Metazoa; Chordata; Mammalia; Primates; Hominidae
Exons: 3
Source: RefSeq, a predicted model, not a curated record
UCUGACAGUUCUCCGACUUCUGGGCAUUCCACGUAGGACGCUUUCUCAUGAGUGUCUGAAACCGUCAGUUCACUGCCAGAAAUGGAGAUACAUGGUUCCUGAUAAACUGGCACUUGCCUUUUCAAAGCCACCAUUUCCUCUAUCCUCUGGGCUGUCACAAAUCCUCCUCUGCACCUCAGGAGUGCCCCUUGGAGCCACGUUCACCACUUCUCUGCCCCUGACCCAGGCUGGUUCCCAGGCCUUGGGGUCCUAGCGUGGACCUCCUGGAAUUUUCCAGAUUAACUCGAAGUACCCCACAACUACACGCUAAUGAAACUAGAGGAGGCACAGCCUCAGCUCCGUGCAGGAUGGAUGCACAAGAGCAGAAUCUCCAUGGGACGCCUUUCUGGAGCAUCAGUAUUACUGCAGGAUUUGGAAGAAACAAAUUCAAAUAAUUUCCAAAGUCAAAGCAACCUAUAUGUCAUCAUACAAACUACAGGCUACGAUGUGCACCUCAUUCUCUUUCUGGAAGGCUGACCUUAAAU